AGUGAACGCUGGCGGCAGGCCUCACACAUGCAAGUUGAACGGCCGCACAGGAGAGCUUGCACCUGGUGGCGAGUGGCGAACGGGUGCGCACUACAUCGGCACCACCCUUAUUGUGGGGGAUAACGCAGCGAAAGCUGUGCUAAUAUCGCAUACGCCCUGAGGGGGAAUGCGUGGGAUCUGCAGACCUCUCCCGAUUCGAGCGGCCGAUGCCUGAUUAGCUAGUUGGUGGGGUAAAAGCCGACCAAGGCGACGAUCAGUAGCUGGUCUGAGGGGACGAUCAGCAGCACUGGGACUGAGACACGGCCCAGACUCCUACGGGAGGCAGCAGUGGGGAAUUUUGGACAAUGGGGGCAACCCUGAUCCAGCAAUGCCGCGUGAGUGAAGAAGGCCUUCGGGUUGUAAAGCUCUUUUGUCAGAGAAGAAACACCGGCUCUAACACAGUCCGGGAAUGACGGUACCUGAAGAAUAAGCACCGGCUAACUACGUGCCAGCCGCCGCGGUAA
This 503-nucleotide ribosomal RNA is filed under the name uncultured bacterium. Its description in RNAcentral is "partial 16S ribosomal RNA". It matches the Rfam family "Bacterial small subunit ribosomal RNA", at positions 29 to 523 of the family's 1533-position model. The record is from RNAcentral.